This 400-nucleotide ribosomal RNA is filed under the name uncultured bacterium. Its description in RNAcentral is "bacterial SSU rRNA". It matches the Rfam family "Bacterial small subunit ribosomal RNA", at positions 356 to 773 of the family's 1533-position model. The record is from RNAcentral.
GGGGAAUAUUGCACAAUGGGGGAAACCCUGAUGCAGCGACGCCGCGUGAGUGAAGAAGUAUUUCGGUAUGUAAAGCUCUAUCAGCAGGGAAGAAAAUGACGGUACCUGACUAAGAAGCCCCGGCUAACUACGUGCCAGCAGCCGCGGUAAUACGUAGGGGGCAAGCGUUAUCCGGAUUUACUGGGUGUAAAGGGAGCGUAGGUGGUGCGGUAAGUCAGAUGUGAAAACCCGGGGCUCAACUCCGGGACUGCAUUUGAAACUAUCGAACUAGAGUGCAGGAGAGGUAAGUGGAAUUCCUAGUGUAGCGGUGAAAUGCGUAGAUAUUAGGAGGAACACCAGUGGCGAAGGCGGCUUACUGGACUGUAACUGACACUGAGGCUCGAAAGCGUGGGGAGCAAAC